This 372-nucleotide ribosomal RNA is filed under the name Vibrio alginolyticus. RNAcentral describes it as "bacterial SSU rRNA". It matches the Rfam family "Bacterial small subunit ribosomal RNA", at positions 54 to 414 of the family's 1533-position model. Lineage: Bacteria; Pseudomonadati; Pseudomonadota; Gammaproteobacteria; Vibrionales; Vibrionaceae. The record is from RNAcentral.
CAUGCAGUCGAGCGGAACGAGUUAUCUGAACCUUCGGGGAACGAUAACGGCGUCGAGCGGCGGACGGGUGAGUAAUGCCUAGGAAAUUGCCCUGAUGUGGGGGAUAACCAUUGGAAACGAUGGCUAAUACCGCAUGAUGCCUACGGGCCAAAGAGGGGGACCUUCGGGCCUCUCGCGUCAGGAUAUGCCUAGGUGGGAUUAGCUAGUUGGUGAGGUAAGGGCUCACCAAGGCGACGAUCCCUAGCUGGUCUGAGAGGAUGAUCAGCCACACUGGAACUGAGACACGGUCCAGACUCCUACGGGAGGCAGCAGUGGGGAAUAUUGCACAAUGGGCGCAAGCCUGAUGCAGCCAUGCCGCGUGUGUGAAGAAGG